CGGACGGGUGAGUAACGCGUGGAUAACCUGCCUCACACUGGGGGAUAACAGUUAGAAAUGACUGCUAAUACCGCAUAAGCGCACAGUACCGCAUGGUACGGUGUGAAAAACUCCGGUGGUGUGAGAUGGAUCCGCGUCUGAUUAGGUAGUUGGUGGGGUAACGGCCCACCAAGCCGACGAUCAGUAGCCGACCUGAGAGGGUGACCGGCCACAUUGGGACUGAGACACGGCCCAA
RNAcentral lists this ribosomal RNA (235 nucleotides) under uncultured bacterium. RNAcentral describes it as "partial 16S ribosomal RNA". It matches the Rfam family "Bacterial small subunit ribosomal RNA", at positions 99 to 334 of the family's 1533-position model. The record is from RNAcentral.